AUUUACGCUGGCGGCGGGCCUAAGACAUGCAAGUCGAGCGAGAAAACCCCGCAAGGGGCGAGUAAAGCGGCGAACGGGUGAGUAACACGUGAGUAACCUGCCUUCCGAUGGGGGACAACACUUCGAAAGGGGUGCUAAUACCGCAUACGUCUCCGAGGAUUUCGGUCUUUGGAGGGAAAGACGGCCUCUGUAUACAUGCUGUCGUCGGAAGAGGGGCUCGCGUCCCAUUAUGCUAGUUGGUGAGGUAACGGCUCACCAAGGCUCUGAUGGGUAGCUGGUCUGAGAGGACGACCAGCCACACUGGAACUGAGACACGGUCCAGACUCCUACGGGAGGCAGCAGUCGGGAAUCUUGGACAAUGGGGGAAACCCUGAUCCAGCCACGCCGCGUGGGUGAUGGAGGCCUUCGGGUCGUAAAGCCCUGUCAGAAGGGAAGAAAGGGUCUGCGGUUAAUACCCGCGGGUCUUGACGGUACCUUCAGAAGAAGCACCGGCUAACUACGUGCCA
Molecule: ribosomal RNA, 506 nt
Filed under: freshwater sediment clone ppF5dna
Lineage: Bacteria
Description: bacterial SSU rRNA
Rfam family: Bacterial small subunit ribosomal RNA
Source: RNAcentral